RNAcentral lists this ribosomal RNA (458 nucleotides) under uncultured bacterium. Its description in RNAcentral is "partial 16S ribosomal RNA". It matches the Rfam family "Bacterial small subunit ribosomal RNA", at positions 29 to 523 of the family's 1533-position model. The record is from RNAcentral.
AACGAACGCUGGCGGCAUGCUUUAUACAUGCAAGUCGAACGUGAAAGUCCUUCGGGAUGAGUAAAGUGGCGCACGGGUGAGUAACGCGUGGGAACGUGCCUUAUAGUUUGGAAUAACCGCGGGAAACUGCGGCUAAUACCAGAUACGCCCUUCGGGGGAAAGAUUUAUCGCUAUAAGAUCGGCCCGCGUAAGAUUAGGUAGUUGGUGGGGUAAUGGCCUACCAAGCCUACGAUCUUUAGCCGGUCUGAGAGGAUGAUCGGCCACACUGGAACUGAGACACGGUCCAGACUCCUACGGGAGGCAGCAGUGGGGAAUAUUGGGCAAUGGAGGAAACUCUGACCCAGCCAUGCCGCGUGAGUGAUGAAGGCCUUAGGGUUGUAAAGCUCUUUCGUUGGUGAAGAUAAUGACGGUAACCAAAGAAGAAGCCCCGGCUAACUUCGUGCCAGCCGCCGCCGUAA